Cyprinus carpio carpio is the source of this 505-nucleotide long non-coding RNA. NCBI's taxonomy places the organism in Eukaryota, Metazoa, Chordata, Actinopteri, Cypriniformes, Cyprinidae. The record is from Ensembl.
GAGUUUCUAGUGCCUUUCAGAGCGACUGCGAGGAACACGGCAGUGAAGAGAAGAAAGCAGAGGAGGAAGAGGAAGGAGGACAUGAAGAUGAGGAAGAAGACGAGGAAGAAGAGGGUGAUGGAGAGAGCGAGGAUGGAGAACACAAGGAAGGAGGAGAUGAGGAGGAUGAAGAUGGCAGUGAGGAAGGAGACAGUGAUGAAAGUGCCGGAGCUGAUGAAGAGAGUGAAGAUGAGGAGAACAACGGAGAGGAAGAACAACCAUCUGGGAAGAUUUCCUUGGAUCUGACAGACGAUGUGACAUCAUGAUGGGUGGAGCUCUCGCCGGUGGACAUCAUGAACACUGUGAAGAUGAUCAUGAUCGCCGAUCCCGGAGUCAGAGAAGAAAAUUAAAGCAAAUUCAUAUUUAACUUACAUGCAAAUGAAGAUUUAAGAAAUAAUUCAUUUUCGCAUCGUCAGCCUAAAGGAACCUAAUGAAUCAGAUCAGAACACAAAACCACAUCAACGUG